GACGAACGCUGGCGGCGUGCUUAACACAUGCAAGUCGAGCGGUAAGGCCCUUUCGGGGGUACACGAGCGGCGAACGGGUGAGUAACACGUGGGUGACCUGCCCUCAGCUCUGGGGAUAAGCCCGGGAAACUGGGUCUAAUACCGGAUAUGACUCCAUGACGCAUGUUGUGGGGUGGAAAGCCUUGUGCGGCUGAGGAUGGGCCCGCGGCCUAUCAGCUUGUUGGUGGGGUGGAUGGCCUACCAAGGCGACGACGGGUAGCCGGCCUGAGAGGGCGACCGGCCACACUGGGACUGAGAUACGGCCCAGACUCCUACGGGAGGCAGGCAGUGGGGAAUCUUGCGCAAUGGGCGAAAGCCUGACGCAGCGACGCCGCGUGAGGGAUGACGGCCUGGU
This 394-nucleotide ribosomal RNA is filed under the name uncultured bacterium. Its description in RNAcentral is "bacterial SSU rRNA". It matches the Rfam family "Bacterial small subunit ribosomal RNA", at positions 28 to 420 of the family's 1533-position model. The record is from RNAcentral.